This 351-nucleotide long non-coding RNA is filed under the name Amborella trichopoda. Its description in RNAcentral is "long non-coding RNA (ATRI_LNC003036)". Lineage: Eukaryota; Viridiplantae; Streptophyta; Magnoliopsida; Amborellales; Amborellaceae. The record is from RNAcentral.
CGUUAUUUGCUAAGCAUGGGCACUUACGACUUGAGGCUUAUACAGAUGCAGAUUGGUUUGGUUGUAUUAUUGACAGCAGAUUUACAUCAGGUUAUUGUCCACUGGUUGGAGGUCACCUUGUGACUUAGAGUAAAACACAGUCAGUUGUAGCCUGUUCAAGUGCAGAACUAGAGUAUCGACCAUGGCUCAUAGGGCAUUUGAGUUGCAGUGGUUAAAAAUCCUAUUCAGAGAACUCAGGUUAUUGUCCACUGGUUGGAGGUCACCUUGUGACUUAGAGUAAAACACAGUCAGUUGUAGCCUGUUCAAGUGCAGAACUAGAGUAUCGACCAUGGCUCAUAGGGCAUUCGAGUU